RNAcentral lists this small RNA (122 nucleotides) under Staphylococcus argensis. RNAcentral describes it as "RNA Staph. aureus A". It matches the Rfam family "RNA Staph. aureus A". Rfam says of the family: Other mRNAs, including SsaA-like enzymes involved in peptidoglycan metabolism and the secreted anti-inflammatory FLIPr protein were validated as direct targets of RsaA. The record is from RNAcentral. RNAcentral also lists the same sequence under 1 other name. Lineage: Bacteria; Bacillati; Bacillota; Bacilli; Caryophanales; Staphylococcaceae.
AGUUAACUGUUCCAGCAUAUUGGGUAGCGACAAUAUAAGGCAGUUAAUCUAUGAAUUAGUAGUGGAUAAAGUUCUCCCAAACACUACGAAGUGGCGUAUUUCGACUAAGAAGUACGCCACUU